Molecule: ribosomal RNA, 467 nt
Filed under: uncultured bacterium
Lineage: Bacteria
Description: partial 16S ribosomal RNA
Rfam family: Bacterial small subunit ribosomal RNA
Source: RNAcentral
GACGAACGCUGGCGGCGUGCUUAACACAUGCAAGUCGAACGGAAAGGCCCUGCUUUUGUGGGGUGCUCGAGUGGCGAACGGGUGAGUAACACGUGAGUAACCUGCCCUUGACUUUGGGAUAACUUCAGGAAACUGGGGCUAAUACCGGAUAGGAGCUCCUGCUGCAUGGUGGGGGUUGGAAAGUUUCGGCGGUUGGGGAUGGACUCGCGGCUUAUCAGCUUGUUGGUGGGGUAGUGGCUUACCAAGGCUUUGACGGGUAGCCGGCCUGAGAGGGUGACCGGCCACAUGGGGACGGGGAUACGGCCCAGAUUCCACCGGGAGGAAGCGGUGGGGAAUAUUGCACAAGGGGCGGAGGCCUGAGGCAGAAACGCCGGGUGGGGGAGGACGGCCUUCGGGUGGAAACCCGCUUUGGCCUGUGACGAGGCGUGGGUGACGGUAAUGGGUAAAGAAGAACCGGCAAACUACGU